This 200-nucleotide unclassified non-coding RNA is filed under the name soil metagenome. Its description in RNAcentral is "partial contains internal transcribed spacer 2 and large subunit ribosomal RNA". The record is from RNAcentral.
UCGAGCGUCAUUUCAACCCUCAAGCUCAGCUUGGUAUUGGGUGCCACCUGGCUAUGGUGCGCCUUAAAAUCAGUGGCGGUGCGUCUGGCUUCAAGCGUAGUAAAUCUCUCGCUUUGGAGGCUUGGACGUGUGCUAGCCAUCAACCCCUAAUUUAUCAAAAGGUUGACCUCGGAUCAGGUAGGGAUACCCGCUGAACUUAA